AACCUCCGCAAUGUGAGAAAUCGCGACGGGGGGAUCCCAAGUGCCAUUCUUAACGGGAUGGCUUUUCAUUAGUGUAAAGAGCUUUUGGAAUAAGAGCUGGGCAAGACCGGUGCCAGCCGCCGCGGUAACACAGGCAGCUCUAGUGGUAACAAUUUUUAUUGGGCCUAAAGCGUCCGUAGCCGGUUUAAUAAGUCUCUGGUGAAAUCCUGCAGCUUAACUGUGGGAAUUGCUGGAGAUACUAUUAGACUUGAGACCGGGAGAGGUUAGAGGUACUCCCAGGGUAGAGGUGAAAUUCUGUAAUCCUGGGAGGACCGCCUGUUGCGAAGGCGUCUAACUGGAACGGUUCUGACGGUGAGGGACGAAAGUUAGGGGCGCGAACCGGAUUAGAUACCCGGGUAGUCCUAACUGUAAACGAUGCGGACUUGGUGUUGGGGUGGCUUUGAGCUGCUUCAGUGCCGAAGGGAAGCUGUUAAGUCCGCCGCCUGGGAAGUACGGUCGCAAGACUGAAACUUAAAGGAAUU
This 521-nucleotide ribosomal RNA is filed under the name uncultured bacterium. RNAcentral's name for it is "bacterial SSU rRNA". It matches the Rfam family "Archaeal small subunit ribosomal RNA", at positions 345 to 866 of the family's 1478-position model. The record is from RNAcentral.